AUUCCUCAAUGCACUUGUACGGUUAGCCUUUUAGCCACCAUGCUAACGUGACUUUAGUGUUCCCGAUAAAGAGCGAAAGUGUACUGACCAGUACGUACUAUGUUCCUCUUCAGAUUUUGGCGCGCUCUACCUUCCAGAUUUUUCAUCCGAUUCAAACCGUUGCAACUUCAAACUGUUCUGCCUAUUCGGGAAUCGCGGGCUUUCCCUUGACAAAUUCCAACAAUUCCCAGAUUUCCCAGAAUUCCAGAAUUGGUUGGGGCGCACUUAAAGAUGAUGCCACCAGCUGUCUCCACCCGUCUCUGUCCUCCACUGCCCUCAGGAGCGGCUGAAUGACUGAUGGCUUUCUGCAAGAGAAAACUCAGUGUCGUGUUGAAGCAGAGGCCUCCCGUGAAAACACUUUAAUAAGGUAUCCGUGCCCUGAGUUGCGGAGACUCAUAAAAAUACUUGACAAACACUCACUUGUAUCAAUUAUGUUUUGCUCAAACACACACAAAGAGAUACAUUUUAUGUUUCACUGGGUUUAGAGCUAUACUUCAAAUAAAGGAAUUAACUUUUAAACA
Molecule: long non-coding RNA, 560 nt
Organism: Entelurus aequoreus (snake pipefish)
Lineage: Eukaryota; Metazoa; Chordata; Actinopteri; Syngnathiformes; Syngnathidae
Exons: 4
Source: RefSeq, a predicted model, not a curated record